This is a long non-coding RNA of Suricata suricatta (meerkat), 582 nucleotides long. RefSeq lists it as uncharacterized. The transcript has 2 exons. NCBI's taxonomy places the organism in Eukaryota, Metazoa, Chordata, Mammalia, Carnivora, Herpestidae. The record is from RefSeq and is a predicted model, not a curated record.
UAUGAGGCAGGUCAUUGUCACAAUACCAACUGUGGAUGUGUCUACCCAGGCACCCUGUCAUCGAAAAUCUAUAGGUGAUACAUCCCUUCAGAAGCGGGACCAUGGAUCAAGAGGUGUGUUCACAGCAGGCUGCAGGGUUCCAAACAGCACGUUUCCUCCACAGUGCAGUCCAGACACAGAAUCACAGAUGCUGAAAGUCUACUCUCUGUCUCUACUCCCCAUCUGAUGUUCAUGGUAGAGAACGUCCAGGACAAGGAGCAGACUUGGAAUUACUAAGCCUGUCUCUAAUCUCUCCCAUCCCCUCCGGUGGUUUUGUCCGAGGUAGACCUCUCUUGUGUCUUUUGUUCCCUAAUAACACUCUCUCUGAGUGGGACUUCCCCCAGGGGUUAAUUUAUGUAUUUGCAUUACACAUUCUGGAACAGGGGUGAUAAGCACAGGUUGAAUCUGUGGAAUCAGGGAACACUGGUAAAUGUGAGCCAAGUGUCCAUCCACCAGCAGGCCUGCCAAAUUUGGGCAUCAGCCUGUGAUCAGAGCCAUCCUUCAAAGGUCCCCAGAAAAUAUAGUGUUUCCCGUUUUCCAGAG